GUGCUUGCUUUGGCAGCAUACAUACUAAAAUCAGAUCGAUACAGAGAAGAUCAGCAUGGCCUCCGCACAAGGAUGACACGCAAAUUGGUGAAGCGUUCCACAUAAAA
Small nuclear RNA from Cynocephalus volans (Philippine flying lemur), 107 nucleotides. The record is from RefSeq and is a predicted model, not a curated record. Lineage: Eukaryota; Metazoa; Chordata; Mammalia; Dermoptera; Cynocephalidae.